RNAcentral lists this RNase P RNA (398 nucleotides) under Caviibacterium pharyngocola. Its description in RNAcentral is "Bisgaard Taxon 5 Bacterial RNase P class A". It matches the Rfam family "Bacterial RNase P class A". Rfam says of the family: Ribonuclease P (RNase P) is a ubiquitous endoribonuclease, found in archaea, bacteria and eukarya as well as chloroplasts and mitochondria. Its best characterised activity is the generation of mature 5'-ends of tRNAs by cleaving the 5'-leader elements of precursor-tRNAs. The record is from Rfam by way of RNAcentral. Lineage: Bacteria; Pseudomonadati; Pseudomonadota; Gammaproteobacteria; Pasteurellales; Pasteurellaceae.
CGAGUCAGCCAGACAAUCGCCGGUUUAUUGAAGCCCUUAACCGUCAAUCCGAUAGGAACGACGACCUAGCGGGACAAGUAAACGGGAGGAAAGUCCGGGCUACGCAGGGCAGAGUGCCGGAUAACGUCCGGGAGGCGAGAGCCUACGACCAGUGCAACAGAGAGCAAACCGCCGAUGGCUCGUAAGAGAUCAGGUAAGGGUGAAAGGGUGCGGUAAGAGCGCACCGCGUAAGUGGUAACAUUUUACGGCAGGGUAAACUCCACUCGUAGCAAGACCAAAUAGGAACUCAAUGGGUGGCCCGCUCAGAGUUCGGGUAGGUUGCUUGAGCGUAUGUGUAAAUGUGCGCCUAGAGGAAUGAUUGUCCACGACAGAACCCGGCUUAUCGGCUGACUUAACGA